UGGCUAACUCCGUGCCAGCAGCCGCGGUAAUACGGAGAGGGCUAGCGUUAUUCGGAAUCAUUGGGCGUAAAGGGCGCGUAGGCUGAUUAGUAAGUUAAAAGUGAAAUCCCAAGGCUCAACCUUGGAAUUGCUUUUAAAACUGCUAAUCUAGAGAUUGAAAGAGGAUAGAGGAAUUCCUAGUGUAGAGGUGAAAUUCGUAAAUAUUAGGAGGAACACCAGUGGCGAAGGCGUCUAUCUGGUUCAAAUCUGACGCUGAGGCGCGAAGGCGUGGGGAGCAAACAGGAUUAGAUACCCUGGUAGUCCAC
This 305-nucleotide ribosomal RNA is filed under the name Wolbachia pipientis. Its description in RNAcentral is "bacterial SSU rRNA". It matches the Rfam family "Bacterial small subunit ribosomal RNA", at positions 494 to 798 of the family's 1533-position model. The record is from RNAcentral. Lineage: Bacteria; Pseudomonadati; Pseudomonadota; Alphaproteobacteria; Rickettsiales; Anaplasmataceae.